UACGUAGGGGGCAAGCGUUGUCCGGAAUUAUUGGGCGUAAAGCGCGCGUAGGUGGUUUGUUAAGUUGGAUGUGAAAGCCCCGGGCUCAACCUGGGAACUGCCUUUGUGACUGCAAGGCUAGAGUACGGCAGAGGGGGAUGGAAUUCCGCGUGUAGCAGUGAAAUGCGUAGAUAUGCGGAGGAACACCGAUGGCGAAGGCAAUCCCCUGGGCCUGUACUGACGCUGAGGCGCGAAAGCGUGGGUAGCAAACAGG
Molecule: ribosomal RNA, 253 nt
Filed under: uncultured bacterium
Lineage: Bacteria
Description: partial 16S ribosomal RNA
Rfam family: Bacterial small subunit ribosomal RNA
Source: RNAcentral